Molecule: ribosomal RNA, 440 nt
Filed under: uncultured bacterium
Lineage: Bacteria
Description: partial 16S ribosomal RNA
Rfam family: Bacterial small subunit ribosomal RNA
Source: RNAcentral
GCUACGGGUGGCUGCAGUGGGGAAUAUUGCACAAUGGGGGAAACCCUGAUGCAGCGACGCCGCGUGAGUGAAGAAGUAUUUCGGGAUGUAAAGCUCUAUCAGCAGGGAAGAAAAGGACGGUACCUGACUAAGAAGCCACGGCUAACGACGUGCCAGCAGCCGCGGUAAUACGUAGGGGGCAAGCGUUAUCCGGAUUGACUGGGUGUAAAGGGAGCGUAGACGGCGCGGCAAGUCUGAAGUGAAAGGCCGGGGCUUAACCCCUGAACUGCUUUGGAAACUGCCAUGCUAGAGUGCUGGAGAUGUAAGUGGCCUUCCUCGUGUCGCGGUGCCUUGCGUCGAUCUUCGGAGGAACACCAGUGGCGCAGGCGGCUUACUGGACCGUACCUGACGUUGAGGCUCGACCGCGUGGGGAGCAAACAGGAUUAGAUACCCGGGUAGUC